This 443-nucleotide long non-coding RNA is filed under the name Trifolium pratense (red clover). RNAcentral's name for it is "long non-coding RNA (TPRA_LNC005886)". Lineage: Eukaryota; Viridiplantae; Streptophyta; Magnoliopsida; Fabales; Fabaceae. The record is from RNAcentral.
AAUAACUUAAUCUCAUUUAUAUAAUUCAUUCAAUUCAAUACUAACAACAUUUAUACAUAAAAAAUCUGAUUAAAAUACAUGAAACUCCAAAAGAAAAAAAAAAGAAUAAUCUAAUGUAGUUCAAUCAUUGAAAAAACUAAAACCUAACCAUUAGUAGAGUGGCAAAAUAUACAACACGUUAAGUCAAAAUAAGGAUUUAACAAAAUAUCUCAAUAUUCCUAGCAUGUGAUGUUGUUUCGUGAUCCUUAAUUAGUGCUAACUAGACUCCGAACAUUUGUCAUCUCUUAGACUUUUCUAACUCAGUUAUCUGAAAAAACAUAAGUAUAUAUUAGGAUACUUAAAUAAACGGAAUUAUAUAGAUUAACUUAGUCCAUGGCAUAAUUCCACAAGAUAAUGGUUCCUUCAAAAUCUAUUUUCUAAAUACAUCAAAUAAAUGAAAUUAU